Molecule: ribosomal RNA, 778 nt
Filed under: Limosilactobacillus fermentum
Lineage: Bacteria; Bacillati; Bacillota; Bacilli; Lactobacillales; Lactobacillaceae
Description: bacterial SSU rRNA
Rfam family: Bacterial small subunit ribosomal RNA
Source: RNAcentral
UCUGAUGUGAAAGCCUUCGGCUUAACCGGAGAAGUGCAUCGGAAACUGGAUAACUUGAGUGCAGAAGAGGGUAGUGGAACUCCAUGUGUAGCGGUGGAAUGCGUAGAUAUAUGGAAGAACACCAGUGGCGAAGGCGGCUACCUGGUCUGCAACUGACGCUGAGACUCGAAAGCAUGGGUAGCGAACAGGAUUAGAUACCCUGGUAGUCCAUGCCGUAAACGAUGAGUGCUAGGUGUUGGAGGGUUUCCGCCCUUCAGUGCCGGAGCUAACGCAUUAAGCACUCCGCCUGGGGAGUACGACCGCAAGGUUGAAACUCAAAGGAAUUGACGGGGGCCCGCACAAGCGGUGGAGCAUGUGGUUUAAUUCGAAGCUACGCGAAGAACCUUACCAGGUCUUGACAUCUUGCGCCAACCCUAGAGAUAGGGCGUUUCCUUCGGGAACGCAAUGACAGGUGGUGCAUGGUCGUCGUCAGCUCGUGUCGUGAGAUGUUGGGUUAAGUCCCGCAACGAGCGCAACCCUUGUUACUAGUUGCCAGCAUUAAGUUGGGCACUCUAGUGAGACUGCCGGUGACAAACCGGAGGAAGGUGGGGACGACGUCAGAUCAUCAUGCCCCUUAUGACCUGGGCUACACACGUGCUACAAUGGACGGUACAACGAGUCGCGAACUCGCGAGGGCAAGCAAAUCUCUUAAAACCGUUCUCAGUUCGGACUGCAGGCUGCAACUCGCCUGCACGAAGUCGGAAUCGCUAGUAAUCGCGGAUCAGCAUGCCGCGGUGAA